RNAcentral lists this ribosomal RNA (207 nucleotides) under uncultured bacterium. RNAcentral describes it as "partial 16S ribosomal RNA". It matches the Rfam family "Bacterial small subunit ribosomal RNA", at positions 568 to 774 of the family's 1533-position model. The record is from RNAcentral.
CGUGUAGGCGGCCAAACAGGUCCGUUGUGAAAACUGGAGGCUUAACCUCCAGACGUCGACGGAAACCGUAUGGCUAGAGUCCGGAAGAGGAGAGUGGAAUUCCUGGUGUAGCGGUGAAAUGCGCAGGUAUCAGGAAGAACACCUAUGGCGAAGGCAGCUCUCUGGGACGGUACUGACGCUGAGACGCGAAAGCGUGGGGAGCGAACA